RNAcentral lists this long non-coding RNA (628 nucleotides) under Androctonus crassicauda. Lineage: Eukaryota; Metazoa; Arthropoda; Arachnida; Scorpiones; Buthidae. The record is from RNAcentral.
UAGCAAUCAUAUCAUUUGUUUGGUUGAUAUAUGUUGAUUUUAGUUUUAUAUUUUAUCAAUAAACAAAAAAAACAUGGCAUAAAAGAAUUUGAAUUCAACAAAAAUGCCAUUAUGUAAAGUUUAUAGAAGUCAGUUGGAUAGCCACAGUGGAAGCAUAUUGUGCUGCUAUCCUGAAGGAUCUUUCAGGACAGAAACAGUGGGCUUAAUUUCCAGGUUCCAUAUCUCAAAACUUUUUCAGGAAGGGUCCAAAGCAAGUCCAUUGAACUUCAUCUUCUACCUGAUGGCCGAUAUCAACAAAGAUGUGAGUGGCAUCUAAUUUUGCUGAUGGGUCUUUCUACUUUGUUUUGAUUUGGUUUCCUAUAAACAUUUUAUCUUCAUUAAACUACAGUAUAAUAAGAAAUCUCUAUGGUAGGCAUUAGGUCUAUUUAGUAUCCAUCAGAUAAGAAAUGACAUUAAUUAAAUGUUUUUGAUAUACUGGAUCACAAAUAUAUAAUGCUGACAAAUGGAGCUUUAAAACAUCCUGAAGAACUACAUGAAAAAAGUUCAUUGAAAACUAAGCAUCAUUAUUUGUCUAUGGAUCAGUGCAUGAUAGUAUUAACUUACAACUUAGAGAGGUUUCAUAUUCAAU